Molecule: long non-coding RNA, 1022 nt
Organism: Equus quagga
Lineage: Eukaryota; Metazoa; Chordata; Mammalia; Perissodactyla; Equidae
Exons: 3
Source: RefSeq, a predicted model, not a curated record
CGCCCCCGCGCAGCCCUCCAGGACUGCUUUCAGCACCCGAGUUCCCGCUCCCUGUGGCCACUGUCUCCGCGCCGUUCCAUAACCUGGGGUCUCGACUCUUCCCGCCUCCGCCCGCCGUCCUCGGACUCAGCCUCCCGGCGCAGAGAGCUUUGAAGACAAGCGGUGGAAUUAGCUGGUUGGGGACAGUUAAUAAGAAACCUCUAGGUGAACUCCAGUCCCUCUUUCUGUCCCUGCAUCUGUCCAUCCUCCUGGAGUGACGGGCAGGGCCAACCCCGGGCCAGACUCUUCGAUAGCCCACGGUCUCUCUAGACCGCGUGGUAGUUCCCAGGCAAGGGAGCAAUUCCUGAGGCCAAGAAGACUCACGGAGGAGGCAUCACUGAGAGGAGUGGCUGGAGGGGUGGGGUAGGGGGACCGUCUUUCCAACCUGCCUGAGUGCUGCGACGCGCCAGGCAAUGCGACCAGGGCCGUCCCUGACGCCUAAAACACCUGCCAGCGCUGGUCCCAGGACUUCCUGCCUUUAAGAACAGGUUACCCCUACCCUCUCGUCUAGCUUCUGCUCUCCAGUUACCUCCUAGGAUGUCCGGGAAGGAGACCCUCUUACCUGCCGCCUAAGACCCCCAAAAGGUGUCCUGGCCGGACAGUGGGGGAGGGCAGCAGAGAACAGCCCAUCCUUUCCUCUUAGCUCCCAAGCCUUUCAGCAUUUACUUCUACUCUCACCAGCCUGGCUUCAGUGCUCUGGAAAUGUGCCCUGGCCUUCCACACCAGGCUCUCUGGAGACCCCACUGAGAAUGUGCUCUCUUCUACUCCCACCCUAUCGACACGGUCCCAGUGCUUCCCUACUCUCUAGCAGGAUACCAGAUGGCGCCAGGACAACCAUAUCUCCUGAUAACUCCUAACCCUGACUGCCAGUUUGUGGAGACAAAUGAAGAUAACUAUACAUAAGGGGCCUGGUACAGGAACUGCACAUAGAAGACACCCCCCAUUCCUCAAAUUUUUUAAUAAAAAAUAUUAAAAAUAUAGUA